This 253-nucleotide ribosomal RNA is filed under the name uncultured bacterium. Its description in RNAcentral is "partial 16S ribosomal RNA". It matches the Rfam family "Bacterial small subunit ribosomal RNA", at positions 524 to 776 of the family's 1533-position model. The record is from RNAcentral.
UACGGAGGGUGCAAGCGUUGUUCGGAAUUACUGGGCGUAAAGCGCAUGUAGGCGGCCUGGAAAGUCGGGUGUGAAAUCCCGGAGCUCAACUCCGGAACUGCAUCCGAUACUGCCAGGCUCGAGUCUCGGAGAGGAUGGCGGAAUUUCCGGUGUAGAGGUGAAAUUCGUAGAUAUCGGAAGGAACACCAGUGGCGAAGGCGGCCGUCUGGACGAUGACUGACGCUGAGAUGCGAAAGCGUGGGUAGCAAACAGG